GGACUACUGGGGUUUCUAAUCCCGUUUGCUCCCCUAGCUUUCGCGCAUCAGUGUCAGAAAAGGUCCAGCAGUUCGCUUUCGCCACCGGCGUUCCUUCCAAUAUCAACGCAUUUCACCGCUCCACUGGAAGUUCCAACUGCCCCUACCUCCCUCCAGCUGACCAGUAUCCAAGGCACUUUUCCGGUUAAGCCGAAAGAUUUCACCCCAGACUUGAUCAACCACCUACGCGCCCUUUAAGCCCAGUGAUUCCGAAUAACGUUUGCACGGUUCGUCUUACCGCGGCUGCUGGCAC
Molecule: ribosomal RNA, 292 nt
Filed under: uncultured Planctomycetota bacterium
Lineage: Bacteria; Pseudomonadati; Planctomycetota
Description: uncultured planctomycete partial 16S ribosomal RNA
Source: RNAcentral